GGAUCUGGAGACUUUUCUAGUUGCUCUUGUGUAGUUUAGUUGGUGUCAUGCAUAUACAGGAAGAGGAUUUUUUCACUGCAGAUUCAUUUGUGAAAACUGUCACUGACACAUUAAGCUGCAGAUAUUUCUGUCAUUUGGGUGUCGACGCUGAGACAUUCACACUGCAGCACGUUUUAUGAUUGCAGAAAUCAGUAUGGCGACAUCACUCAUGACGUCACUUCCUCUGAUCUUCGUGAUCAUGACUGCGGGGGGUGAUGGUCAGCAGGAUUGGGGAGUGAAUUACAGCCCUUCAUAUAUUGUGCAU
Long non-coding RNA from Cyprinus carpio (common carp), 304 nucleotides. RefSeq lists it as uncharacterized. The record is from RefSeq and is a predicted model, not a curated record. The transcript is spliced from 3 exons. Lineage: Eukaryota; Metazoa; Chordata; Actinopteri; Cypriniformes; Cyprinidae.